UGGUUCUCAAUCAGAGACAACGAUUGACAGCUGCCUCUGAUUGGGAACCAUACCAGGCCAAACACCUAUAAAUAUAACACACAGAACCAAAAUAUAGAAUGCCCACCCCAACUCACGCCCUGACCAAACUAAAAUAGAGACAUAAAAAGGUCAGGACGUGAAAGGGUAUGAGUUGUGUUGUAGAGUGUGGUUAGGGGGUGUUGCAAUGGUUCUGCUUUGCCCUGAGGGUGCAUUUCAAAACAUCCUACCUCAAUGGUAGAAGUUUCAAAGUUGACUAAUUAUGGCACAAGCUGUGAGGCUACACGGUAACGGAAAAGCAAAACUCUUGACAGAUUCACUCCUUCACAAAAGAGACAGUCCUUUUAGAUUUAAAGGACUCACAAAAGAUGGAGACUUCACAGAGGUCUCCCGUUCUGUCAUCCUGUCUGAUCUCAAUAAUAGUUGUGCUGAAUAUCAUCUUGUGGAUGUUUCUAAUGUCAGCAGUGGGAUUAGGGGCUAUGCACCUACAUGACUGCCCCUUACAGCCUUAUAUCCCCAUCUACCUGCUGGUGAUCGGGCUGACGUCCAUCGCCUCCCUGCUCCUAGCCUACCUCAAUAACACACUGGAGACUGGCUUCCUGAGCCUACUGUGUUCCUCCUGCAUCUUCCUCCUCCAACUCUUCAACCUCGGCUGGUUCAUCACAGCACAUCAAGUACAUGAAGACGGGAGUGAGUGGGUGUACUCCAUAUAUCCCCCGAACUAUGACACGAAUGGUGGAGAGAAGUACUGUCAGAGGAAGAUAUACCUGUUUGCUUUCUGGUUCAACAGCCUGGGCAGCAUCUGUAUGGCUGUGGUGUUCUUCUGUGGAGUGUUCUUCAUCUUCCUUACCUGUGUGAAAAUGGCAUUUAGGGGACACCAUCUACUCCAUUCACAUAAGAGAUCGUAUGGUGUGGACGCUUGA
Molecule: long non-coding RNA, 941 nt
Filed under: Oncorhynchus kisutch (coho salmon)
Lineage: Eukaryota; Metazoa; Chordata; Actinopteri; Salmoniformes; Salmonidae
Description: lncRNA (ENSOKIG00005014980.1)
Source: RNAcentral